Molecule: small nuclear RNA, 164 nt
Filed under: Bombyx mandarina (wild silkworm)
Lineage: Eukaryota; Metazoa; Arthropoda; Insecta; Lepidoptera; Bombycidae
Description: U1 spliceosomal RNA
Rfam family: U1 spliceosomal RNA
About the family: U1 is a small nuclear RNA (snRNA) component of the spliceosome (involved in pre-mRNA splicing). Its 5' end forms complementary base pairs with the 5' splice junction, thus defining the 5' donor site of an intron. There are significant differences in sequence and secondary structure between metazoan and yeast U1 snRNAs, the latter being much longer (568 nucleotides as compared to 164 nucleotides in human).
Source: RNAcentral
AUACUUACCUGGCGUAGGGGAUACUGUGAUCAUGCAGGCGGUUCCCCCAGGGCGAGGCUGCUCCAUUGCACUGCGGAGUGGUUCACCCUUGCGAUUAUUUUUAUUUUUAUCAAUAAAAAAAUCAUAAUAAAACAUGUAUUCCCGAAUGAUUAUUUUCUUUAUAC